This 374-nucleotide unclassified non-coding RNA is filed under the name soil metagenome. RNAcentral's name for it is "partial contains internal transcribed spacer 2 and large subunit ribosomal RNA". The stretch from base 1 to 120 matches the Rfam family "5.8S ribosomal RNA", at positions 35 to 154 of the family's 154-position model. The record is from RNAcentral.
GAUGAAGAACGCAGCGAAAUGCGAUAAUUAAUGUGAAUUACAGAAUUCCGUGAAUCAUCGAGUCUUUGAACGCACAUUGCGCCUCAUGGCAUUCCGUGAGGCAUGCCCAUCUCAGCGUUAGAAAAUAUUCUCAAAUUUUAGUUUUGUGCUAAAAUUUGGAUCAUGUCAAGGAAGCUAUUACUAUUAUUGUGAUCGCUCUUUGGAAAUUGAUAGGACUUUGAGUUGCUACUCAUAGAACGUGAUGAAUCUUUCUUCGUUCUAUUGUAAUUCACUCUGGUAGUCCUAAAACUUGUAUGCCUGUGGCAUAUCUUGUAAUUUGACCUGAGAUUGGGUAGGGAUACCCGCUGAACUUAAGCAUAUCAAUAAGCGGAGGA